UCAAGCAUGUACGCGAGAAUGAGAAGGCCUAACUGGACCGAUGAAGAGUCUCUACUCCUUGCUCAGCUGAUAGAAGAACGGAAAGAGAUAAUCAGAAGGAAGUGCAGUGCUGGAGUUACAUCACUGGCUAAAAGACAAGCAUGGGAAGAGAUAGCCCAUACCAUUAAUAUAGGUUUCCCUCAGUAUCAGCGGACAGUUGCUGAUUGUACCAAAAAAUGGGAGAAUUUGCUUGCAAAGUCAAGAAAUGAAAUAAAAAGACAAAGAAUGCAUAUAGGUGAAGACUUGUCCCCCGCACAGUUGAGUGAUGUCACCCAGAUUGUGCUUUCUGUGAUGAACCUCUCUGACAGAAUGGAUGAGGAGAUGAAAGAUCCUUCCAUUCUACUUUUAAGCGAAACUCAACAGAGCUUUGAUGAAGAAAGCAAUCUAUGUAACACACCUCUAACGGAGAACGGCCAUCAUUCGUGCAACGAGUCCGGGACGAUACGCCUCAGCGACCCAUUUGAUUCUCCGGAGGAACAGAAGGUGUCUUUUUAUAACAGUGUCCACCAUUCUCCCGUGAUGAACAUAGGCAAUCACGGUAUGACCGUCAGCUCUCCUUCAAUGCCGUCGGCGCCUUUGACUUUGCCUCGCGCCAUCAGUACACCAGCAUCACCGCACACCUCACAGCACACAACGUUGCAAGAACGAAUGGAUUUGGAGAUGUCUGUCCUUCGAAGACAAGAGGCUGUCCUCAAGCUUCAAGAGGAGUAUUAUUCUCUUAAGAUUAAGCUGCUGAAAAAACAGAAUGAUGUUUAUUCGAAAGAUCAGUGUUAAAGAGGAUAUAUCACGUUAACCUGUGGCCGUUUCUGGAACACGACCAUCAGAAAUACUGUGAAGUAGGUGUGGUCAUUUAGUAUGGCGCCUGUUCUUAUAUUUUUUAUUUGAAGAACCCCAGAAGCGCGUCCAUAGUUUACAUUUGAUUUACUGUCUGUGCUUAUUAUGGAUUUUUAAACAAGGUAUCUAGUAAUGCUUACCGUGUGUGUGUGUGUGUGUGUCUUGUGUGCGUAUGAGAAAGAAAGAAUGAGAAGUAGAUAUAUUAAAUCAUUUCUAGUUUAAGUUGUAACUCCUGUGAUUUUUGUCUUUCAUGUUUCUUCUAUUCGUUACUUUUUCCCAACUAUGUAGAGUAGAUGUUUACAUUAUUUUUACUAAAUUGCAGCCAGUCCAACCUGCCCUUUUCCCCCUUAUUAACUAUUUUCUGCACCAAUUUACUCCCUUUUAUUUACAAAAAUGUACCAAAUAUCAAAAUCAUAAUUCAUCAAAUAGCCUUGAAUUCCCUCAGCAUUGCCUUCUCUAUAGUCUACAAUAACCCGAGGACUUAAAGAUGGCACUUGUCUUAUCUAAGUUCAGGACAGAAACAAUAUAUCCUUUAUGUAUGUAAUUUCUGAAAAUCUUAUUUCAUAUCAGUUAAUUUUUUACAUACAAACCAACGGCAACACUCACCAACAUUUGGCCGGUGCCCAAAGCAUGUUGGUGGCAGUUUGCUGUUGUCAGAUUAUGUUUCUGUUAGCAAACAUGUUGAACCUGUGUUGGCAAACGCCAACCAACAUUCUGUAGUUGAGUGUUGUUGUUUGUUGGGGCAGUUUGCUGGGGCACCUCAAAGCUACAGGAUAAUGACAAAUUUGACAGAUGAUGGAUAAAGGCUCAGGCUAUGGACUGGGCCAGCAACACCUCUGCGCAAAUUAUUUUACAACAAUGGGACAGUUUCUUCUGCUUAUACCAGUUACAAACAAUUAUUUGAUAUUUGUUGCUUUCAACAAGCAAACAUCUGAUUGAUAGUUAUAUUCUACGAAAACAAUGAUUUUUGCAGAUCUGUUUAAAAAAUGGACUUUUAAAAGAUGUGUCCCUUUGAAACAUGUACUGAUCAGAAUCAAUGCCAUUGGUGUGUAUUAAUUUUCGAUAACGGAAAACUUCUGCUUUUUAACCGUUCUGAAUCAAUAUGCUACAAAUCCGAGUACAACUAUCGACCAAAUGUUUGCUUGACAACGAAAAAACAAUAUUCUCAAAUGCUGCAGAAGAAUAUGAAAGUAACUAAUAUAAUCAUUGUUUUUAACUUUGGUAUAAGUGGAAUAAAACAGUGCGGGGUAGAAAAUAAUGUACUUUGGUCUUACAUUAUUUUCCCCUAACAGGGCUUCCCGUCAUAGUUAAUCCUUACGUAUACAUUCACACAGAAUACAAAUGUUGAAUUCUCACAUCUAAGUUACCAUUUAUUUGAACGUUUAACCACUUUCAGCACAAGCUGUCUUGUUUGCUCUGUAACACAGUCCAUUUCACAUGUAUAGUUUACUUUGUGGGUAGGGGUGUCAACUUGCUGAUUCACCUCUUUUCAUUUUAAUGUGACUUUGAGAGUUGGGAUUUUUGACAUAUAACAAUAACCAUAUUUAAUAAAAAACGCUGCGUGGCUACACCAAACGUACGCAAACGAAAAAUAAGUCUAGACGAAUGUAGUAAUUUGUACAUAAUAUUUCUCAUAAAUCUGUUUAUUUUAAAGUGACUCCUCUUGGCACCGGGAUGUGAGAUGAGGGCCCCGGGGUGACGAAUAAAAGGCUGUUAUUUGCUGUGCGGUUUGCUCAUUUCCUUUGUUAGUGUUGUGCCAGACUGUGCUACAGUCGAGCAGUGUGACUGUCUUCCCUCGCUGGGCAGCAGCGAGCCUCCACGGCUGUAGCUCUCCCUCUUGUGCAUUGAUUUCUGAAGCAGCUUUUUCAAGACUUUCCCUGAGAAAAGAGAGCCUCCUUUCAUGAACUGUAGCAGGAACACAACGGCUAGCCCAGACUGCCAUGAUGACAUGGGGAUGUGUCCAAUUCAAGGUUUAUAUAAACAUCAUGUCCUCUCCCUCUCUGGUAAUUCCUAAGACCAACUAAAUAACCAUAAUCAUUAGGGGAUCUUGGUGCCGAUCAAUAGGUUACAAUGGAUAGGUUGUGCAUACUUUGCAAGGAGGGUAUCCUUGCAACCAUGUUUUUAAAGUCCAUCC
Molecule: long non-coding RNA, 3007 nt
Organism: Gadus morhua (Atlantic cod)
Lineage: Eukaryota; Metazoa; Chordata; Actinopteri; Gadiformes; Gadidae
Source: Ensembl